Musa acuminata subsp. malaccensis (wild Malaysian banana) is the source of this 1702-nucleotide long non-coding RNA. RefSeq lists it as uncharacterized. NCBI's taxonomy places the organism in Eukaryota, Viridiplantae, Streptophyta, Magnoliopsida, Zingiberales, Musaceae. The record is from RefSeq and is a predicted model, not a curated record.
UUAUAUCACAUCGAACUGUCGUCGCGGCCGCGAGCUCAGCGGCUUCUUCCUCCGUCUCCCGGGAAGUACUCGCAGAGGAUGGGAACUACAACGCAUCCGACCAGAUCCGCACCAAAACCUAGAAUCGAUCCGAUGGCUUCCAGCACUAACUCGAUGGAUAUGCCUUAAGCAGACUGUGCAGAGUCAUCCACCUAGACUUUCUGCUAACUUUUUUUAAGCUUCUCGAUCCUUGGUCUCCUUCGGAGUAUAAACCUCUUCUCGAGGAAAGGAAAUGGUCUUCCUAUGCAGGGAAAUCACUGCAAUCUAAAAUUUUGUGUGCCCUCAUGGGAUGGCACACACGAAUUUAGGAGGGCGUUACACAAGCUUUCCUGUGUCUCAAAUAUAAUUGUGUACGACAGCAUCAGUCAUCUGUUUCUGAUCAGCGACCAACGGCUACUUGCAUCAAGACAUUCUAUUCUAGAUGAGAGGAACCGAGGACAUGAGAUGAUCAUCUUCUAGACAGCGAGCAAUAGCAACUCGCAUCAAGACAUUCUAUUCCAGAUGAGAGGAACCAAGGAACGGACAUGCGAUGAUCAUCUUCUAGACAGAAUGCGGAUGCCAGGUACGACGUCAGUGAUUGACUAUUCAACAGAGACCGAGGGAGAGAGAGAGAGAGAGGCUGUGUUCGUGAUUGUACGUGCCCAGGCUCAUGGCCUCUGCCUCUGCUCCACGGCUUUCGUGUGGGCCAUCCGGAACAAGACGGACGACGAGUGCGCGCCAAAGUGACCAAUGCCACGGGAGAGGGAGGGCGGAGCGCCGCUGGGCAAGUGCGAGAAGGAGCUGAAGCGGAAGGGGGCUGACCUCGACCCGCUCAAGGAGGUGGACGCGCUGCUGCGAACCGAAAGAGCCUGCUCCCGAGUCCAAAGGCGCGCAAGUGGUCGGCGACGGAUCUCGCCACCAUUGCGCUCCUGGUAAUAUCCCGCGGCGUCACCAGGUUCGUGCUCUACAGCUAGGAGUCUCGACGGUAAUCAUCUCGAUGCCCCUUCUUUUGCUUCUUCUCUUAGCCGAAUGAUACUUGGUUCUAUUUCAAGGAUUGAUCCAUAGAAAAAUGAAUGGUUCAAGUUCAACACCGGCGGGAUCUCUCUUCUGUUGAUGACCACAGUAAUCUAAGCAGUAUGGUCCCAUGGAUUUCAUCGAUCACUUCCACGGUCCACAAAGCGGGCGGGAGGGAGGAAGCAGCAGCAGCAUUGAAUGGCGGGGAGCGGACGAGGAGGCAGGCCCUGAGGCGCGUGCACCGGCACGCGGUGGUCAAAGGCGUAGAACUUGCUCGGGGCCUCAACCGGACGUGAAGCGCAUUAAAUGCGUUCGAGGCUUCGCGCUCGCCAUCAAUGGCGGCGGAGACCGUGCUGGAGGAGACGUGACGCUAUCUGCCUCUCCUUCCCCGGUGCGUGCGACACAUCCUCGACGAAAGAAAAGAUGAGAGGAGAUGGACGAAACAGAUCACACAACUGUGCGUGGGUCUUCCUCUGCCGCAAGAAGCGGCGUUCCGAGCUUUUGCUGCUAAAACCAUCGGAUACAUUAUGGAUGGAAGAAAGAUAUUACAUACAAUCUAAAAGGAAGGUUCCAUUUCUGAUUUGCUUGCACGAAAUUCAAAGCCUGGCCCUUUGUUCUUUGUUGGAGGCUUCGAACUGCGUAUUAUUUAAAGCAAGGUUAAAUGUGCAUG